AACGAACGCUGGCGGCAUGCCUAACACAUGCAAGUCGAACGAGACCUUCGGGUCUAGUGGCGCACGGGUGCGUAACGCGUGGGAACCUGCCUUUAGGUUCGGAAUAACUCAGAGAAAUUUGAGCUAAUACCGGAUGAUGUCUUCGGACCAAAGAUUUAUCGCCUUUAGAUGGGCCCGCGUUGGAUUAGCUAGUUGGUGGGGUAAAGGCCUACCAAGGCGAUGAUCCAUAGCUGGUCUGAGAGGAUGAUCAGCCACACUGGGACUGAGACACGGCCCAGACUCCUACGGGAGGCAGCAGUGGGGAAUAUUGGACAAUGGGCGAAAGCCUGAUCCAGCAAUGCCGCGUGAGUGAUGAAGGCCUUAGGGUUGUAAAGCUCUUUUACCCGAGAUGAUAAUGACAGUAUCGGGAGAAUAAGCUCCGGCUAACUCCGUG
This 433-nucleotide ribosomal RNA is filed under the name uncultured bacterium. RNAcentral's name for it is "partial 16S ribosomal RNA". It matches the Rfam family "Bacterial small subunit ribosomal RNA", at positions 29 to 507 of the family's 1533-position model. The record is from RNAcentral.